RNAcentral lists this long non-coding RNA (791 nucleotides) under Pan troglodytes (chimpanzee). RNAcentral describes it as "long non-coding RNA NONPTRT012764". Lineage: Eukaryota; Metazoa; Chordata; Mammalia; Primates; Hominidae. The record is from RNAcentral.
GUCUGCUUCUUAAAAGUAAAAAGCUGUGGUAUAUGUUACUAGAUGGCUUCUGCAUUGUUCAUUUAAGUACUACGCGAUGAAAUAUAGACAUGAUUUAGCAGCGUAAUUUAGUUUCUCAUCAUUCUGUUUUCUGAAGACUUGGCAUCUCAAGGAAGACUCUUUUGAAGUCAAUUUCCCUGACCCUGGAUCCACAGAGCCACCUGCAGAUGUCACACUGAAACUUUGCUGUUGACACACCACCUGUUUUUCCUUGUUCUCCCUCGGUUUUUGCUUUCAUCAAGAAAAUUCUUCAAACAGCUGGGUGAUGCCAAUACAUGGAGCCCGCUGGGAAGUACAUUCUUGUUCCACACUAGAAAACCAGACUUAAUUAGUCAGUCACAUUUAGAGUACUUUUUCUUCUCCAUGACAACUCUAAUCACGUUAGCCAUAUUUGAACUGGAAAAUAGCAGUGUUUUCAGCCCCACAUGAUGAACACAAAUUUAUGUUUAAAUACAAAUAUUAGAGAAAGACAAAUAGGUUGACAUAAUUAUGUGGUUGAUUCUCCUGUGGCUAGAAAAAAAAACAAAUGUGCCACCUCAUCACCUCAGUCUUCCUCACUGAGACCUGUUAUCUAGAAAGGGGAUAUUCUAGGGGAUCACAAUGGCGAAUUAGUGAGUUUGGGGAUUAUUCUUUUGUUUUGCUUUCUUUUUUCACUCAGGAAGAGUGACUAAAACCACGUGGCUAUUUUUAUGUCAUGACUUAAAUACAUCUUCAUCGCCAAGCAUUGAAAUUUCACUAUCACUGUGUUCCUU